AAGUUUUUACACAGAGAUCCUCAUAGUACCUAGAAUUACCGUUUCACCAAUACAUGGUCCCCGACUCAAACACACUUGGUCCCCGUCAACCAUCCGAUUGGAGUUUCGACGGCCGCCACCGUCGCCGCCUCUUCUUCUCAAGUUCCAAUCUUACCUUAACGACGAGAUGAACACUUACAUCACCGCGUUGGUGAAGCCAGAGUGCCCGAUGGUCGAUCGGAACCCGGCGUUCACCAAGGUGGUCAGCAACUUCUCCGGCCUCGACUACCUUCGCCUCUCGACCAUCUCCGCCGCCGUCUCCGUCAAUGUUGGCUACCUCUCCGUUACUGUCAGUCACCCAUCAUGUAUGUUGGAUGGAUCAAAGGGAGAUAAAAAUGCAUAGACCUUGUAGCGAUCAAGUCCUGGAACUGGUAGCAGGCAAGCCAGGCACGCAUCAUGAGUUCAUGGUCAAGACAGGAAGCUUUGGAUACUUCCCCAAGCAUGAGGCAACUGGUGACUGUGCAUCCACGAUUCCACGUGGACAACGACCUCCGGCUCAGGUUCAAAAUCUUGCCUACCGGUAUGAAGAUGCCCAUUUCCUAGGAACGUGUAUGUGUCCAGCGGAACUGGCUGACGGGUACGUCUGUCUGCUGUCCUAGUUUCUACUGAGAACCUGAUUGAUACGUACAUCUCCCGUGCAAUUCCAACUCGAAGGCCAGGCCGAUGAGCUCAUGAGCAGAUUUGGAGUGAUACUUGUAUUGUAGUCUGCCUCAGAUGCAGAUCUUGAAAUUUGCUGUUUCCUACAUCAGCCGCCGGAGCCUGGUUCGUACCUGUUCUGUUAGCACGAGCACGACACGGUUCGCCACAGCUCAGCUACUCAAUUUGUACAGUAGCAUUUUGUUGUUCCUUUUUUUAACUCAAGUUUUGGAUAAUCUUCUCAAAUUGUACUAUUUUGUGUAUCAUCAUUAUAUAGAAAGAUUGAUGUACUGUUAGUGGGUAGUAACUAGAGUACCAAAAGAGCUCUUCAGCGGUGCAGCUUCAUCAAAUUGUUGCUCAGAUCGUGUCAAUCCGUGCGUAUGAGUGCGUUGUGUGGUGAUGCAAAUAUAUAUGUACGUAUAUGAAUUAUAAUAUGUUUUAAAA
Long non-coding RNA from Phragmites australis (common reed), 1119 nucleotides. RefSeq lists it as uncharacterized. Lineage: Eukaryota; Viridiplantae; Streptophyta; Magnoliopsida; Poales; Poaceae. The transcript has 3 exons. The record is from RefSeq and is a predicted model, not a curated record.